AGUGAACGCUGGCGGUAGGCCUAACACAUGCAAGUCGAACGGCAGCACAGUAAGAGCUUGCUCUUACGGGUGGCGAGUGGCGGACGGGUGAGGAAUACAUCGGAAUCUACUUUUUCGUGGGGGAUAACGUAGGGAAACUUACGCUAAUACCGCAUACGACCUACGGGUGAAAGCAGGGGAUCUUCGGACCUUGCGCGAUUGAAUGAGCCGAUGUCGGAUUAGCUAGUUGGCGGGGUAAAGGCCCACCAAGGCGACGAUCCGUAGCUGGUCUGAGAGGAUGAUCAGCCACACUGGAACUGAGACACGGUCCAGACUCCUACGGGAGGCAGCAGUUGGGAAUAUUGGACAAAGGGCGCAAGCCUGAUCCAGCCAUACCGCGUGGGUGAAGAAGGCCUUCGGGUUGUAAAGCCCUUUUGUUGGGAAAGAAAAGCAGCAGGUUAAUACCCCGCUGUUCUGACGGUACCCAAAGAAUAAGCACCGGCUAACUUCGUG
This 492-nucleotide ribosomal RNA is filed under the name uncultured bacterium. Its description in RNAcentral is "partial 16S ribosomal RNA". It matches the Rfam family "Bacterial small subunit ribosomal RNA", at positions 29 to 507 of the family's 1533-position model. The record is from RNAcentral.